UGAGGGGAGGGGGUGCGGGGGAUGAAAUGAAACAGAAGAAUAAAGCAAAAAAAAAAAAAGAACAGGAGCAAGAGAGAGAAAGAGAGAGAGAAUGCUGUCUGGGGAGGAAUAAAGAGGCAUCUGAAUGCAGAAUUUGAUAAAAAGGGAAGGAGGUGAGGAAAGAAAAGACGGUGAAGGAAUUGCAGACAAACGACAAAGCUGAGAGGAGGAUGGGAGCAGCAGGGGUGAGCGGUGAAGAAUCCCAAUGAAGGAUGGAAGGAGCAGAUGAAAGAGUGGCUGGAGGAGGAGGAAGAGAAGAAGAAGAAGAAACCUGGAGCUGGUGGAGCAAUAGCCAAAACUCUGGUGCGUUUCAGAUUGGCACCUUUUUGGCUUUUUUGUUUGUUUGUUGGCAGAAAUUUAUUAAAACGUGUCUUCUUAGACCGAACGCGUACAUUUUAUUCAUAUACACAAAUGUCCCACCUUUUAACAAUGGUCAUGAACGCCUCUUGAUCGCUCCCACUCUCUCUCUUUCUCUCUCUCAUUCGCACACGGCGCAGCCUCUCCCGCCGAUUGCUUUCACAUGACUGCGUUUCUGUGAUUAAGACUAACCUGAUGGACAAAAAGCGUGAUUGUGCGCUCCGCGCUCGUGCGCUGCACCUCAGGCUCAGAGGGCGGUAACACAAAGCUGUGCUCAGAGGUGCGACACGUUCACAUGUGCAUACUAAUAACGCUGUUUUGUGUUGCUCAGACAUGUUUUUUUGGCUAAUGUGUAAACCGGGUGGCAGUGGAGAGCUUUAUUUCUUUUUUCGUUGAAGGCCUCCAGUGAUGUAGCCUUGUUUUCUGUGUAACCGGCAGUGUCAUAUCUGGACCUUAACGCAUUUCUCAGCUGUGUUUUGUAUCAGUAUAAUGAUAACUUUCAUACUUAAGUGUCACAUUCGUCACUUUGUUAAACAUAUGAUGAUGUUUUUAUAACAUGGAUUGUAUUUGACUGUAUCAGAGUUGAUUUUUAAAGCUGAAAUGAAGGCCAAACACUUCAUUCCUGUUUUUUUUUUUUUUGGUUGAUUUUUUUUUUUCUCUUUCAUGC
This is a long non-coding RNA of Thalassophryne amazonica, 1063 nucleotides long. RefSeq lists it as uncharacterized. The transcript has 2 exons. NCBI's taxonomy places the organism in Eukaryota, Metazoa, Chordata, Actinopteri, Batrachoidiformes, Batrachoididae. The record is from RefSeq and is a predicted model, not a curated record.